Molecule: unclassified non-coding RNA, 395 nt
Filed under: soil metagenome
Description: partial contains 5.8S ribosomal RNA, internal transcribed spacer 2, and large subunit ribosomal RNA
Rfam family: 5.8S ribosomal RNA (bases 1-120)
Source: RNAcentral
GAUGAAGAACGCAGCGAAAUGCGAUAAGUAAUGUGAAUUGCAGAAUUCAGUGAAUCAUCGAAUCUUUGAACGCACCUUGCGCCUUUUGGUAUUCCGAAAGGCACACCUGUUUGAGCGUCAUGAAUACCUCAAUCUCCAUCUUUUCUUCGGAUUGAUGGGUGACUUGGAUGUUGAGCCCUGCUGGUAUGCUAUAUCAGCUGGCUUUAAACUUAUUAGCCGGCUCUGUACUGGAUCGGUUUGACUCGACGUGAUAAUAUUAUCGUUGAGGAUGCAUGUCUCAUGCAGCCGGAAAGUACCAAAGCAGCUUCUAGCUUGCCUUUAGUGCACUUUUACAUUUUAGACCUCAGAUCAGGUGGGACUACCCGCUGAACUUAAGCAUAUCAAUAAGCGGAGGA